UGAUACAGAUGUCACGGUGUUGAACACUGCUACGCUCAAGGAUUUGAAGCUGGCUAUCAGGAAGUGAUAGUCAGAUUUAUUUGUCUGAAACUGUGGAAGGAUGAAUUCUGACAUCCAUGUCAUCUAAUUCAUUCAUGCUGACAUGUGUUGAUCUAAUUAGUUGACAUCCUUCGAAAUGCUGCCAAUUUGUCUUUGCUAUUUAAUAUAUCCUAUGAUGGGCACUAAGGCACUGUUGAUCCACCAAAAAUUUCUUAGUUUAGAUGGGUGUCAUUAUCUAAAUAAGCUGAGGGUCACAAGAUGUAUGGUAUUAACCUGAAUUCUUAGUAGGCUCGAGAUGUUGAGUCCUAGCUGAAGUCAUGUUUUAGUUUGACUUUGCAUUGUGUAUUGAAUAGCUGAAUCUAUGUACAUAAGGUUAUUCAAGCCUGCUUGAAUUAGAUUCCAAGCUGGAGCUUAUUCUAAUUUUUAGUUUGAUUUUGCACUGAACUUGACCUGUUUGGUAUUGACUAGCUGAAUGUGUGUACACAAGGUUAGUCAAACCCAUUCGAAUGAAGGUCCCUAUCUUAACUAAUCUAUUUCAGUUAAGCUAAGGAGAAUAUAAUGUUCGAAGGUUGUCCUCUUAAAGAAGUAUGAGCUCAACAUAGAAAGAAUUUUCUCUCUAAGAUGUUACACUGGUAUCUAUAUUCUAAACUAGGAUCCCAUUUCUGUGACUCCAUGAAGCUUCGGUCAUGUGGUUAUAAGUUUAUCUAGGACACUACAUUGUUUGCCUGUCUGAUAUAACGAGAGCACUGACUGCAAAGAGUUCUUGGCAUCAGUAUUUGUUAACGCUAAAUUGUCAGAAAGUAUUAUACCUAUUCAUCCAAGAAAGGCUACUGUGUAGUAUGAGGAUUGUAGUGCUGUUAAAAUAAACUGUAGAUUUGGGAAGGCUCAACUAAUUUAUUGCUGUGCAGAUAGAACAUUACUAGAUGCUGGGAAAAAUAAACUGAGAAAAUUACGUGCCGACAUACGUGUUCUGUAAUUAAAAAGCUUCAGCUGCAUAAGUGUAAAACUAGUUAGAGAUCCUACCUUAUUGAAUGUUAGCUAUGCUUAAUAAUAUGGCCUUCUAAGUUCUAUCACAAUGUUACCUCUUCAGCUGUAUAAUAACUGUCAGGCUUGUAUUGUAUUCCCCAAAAGUGCCAACUUGUAAACCCUGCCUGAUGGACGUCAUAUACUGCUGGUCAAAGGUUGAGACAUCGAUUCUUAUCAUGCAUAAUCUUGACAUCUGAUGCAAUCAUACUCUGCAUCUGUAUUGCUGCUGCAGUUUUUGUAGUUAUAUUCUGUGUAGAGUCCUGAAACAUUUUCCUCACAGGGUGCCACCUUCGGAGAGGUGACAGAAAUGACUGACAUUUUUGAAGGAAGCAUCAUACGGCUAGUUAGGAGGCUGGAUGAAUUUCUGAAUCAGCUAAAAGCUGCUGCUGAAGCUGUUGGGGAGGUCAACCUUGAGAGUUUGCCAGCUAAAAGCUGCUGAAGCUUCUUGUUUCCCUUUCAUUUGUUAACUUGCACAGGGCAUGAUUGCUCUAUUGUCUAUUGUCUAGAAAAACUGAUCGCCUACCUGGGUGGCAUCUGCAUCGUGCUUUCCAGAUUAUUUGUGUGGUCAAAUGAAACGGUGAGUGGUAUUAAAAUGCUCAUGUAGACAGUGUUUAAGCAUUAGAAUGGUGUAGAUAGAGUUGCCCGGCAACUACAGUGUCUGUGAUAUUCGAGAUCCAGCGUAAAUAAGUGUUCAUCAGAAUAGAAUGUGAUUAUUUUUAUUGUUCUGGAUCUAUGACUCCGGUUGCAUAUCUUGUCAAACUCUUUUAGAGUUAUCUUGAUGAGUGUCCACGUCCCAAUAUUAUGACUAUCUCUAAUGAGUAUAAAUAUAAAUUAAUAUAGCUGUCAAUUUUAAGACAGAGCAAAGUGUCAAUGCAUUUCACACCUAUUGAUUCAUUAGGCUCGGUCAGUCGGUCUGAUCCUAUAGUGUUUAAAACUGAUAAUUAUGAUGCAUUGGUCCAUAUGGCCUUGUUUUUUGAUGCAUAUAUAUAUGAUGUAGUUGAUAGGCCUUGAUCUCAACCUCUCAAGUUUAUGUUUCCUUGUGUGUAGGUAACUUGUUAUUUUUAUUGGCAAGCCUGUAAUGAAUUUAUUAGAUUUUUGCUCCUAUUGCCGUGUACAGUAUGUCACAGGCUUGUGGAGCCUGUCAUUGUUCUUAGUGUGCUGUUGUGAUUCUUGAACGGUGUCAAUGGUCGUGUACAUGUGUCUUUUGUAGUAUAAAAAGGGCCACUAUCAGCCGUAGGAUUGGGAUUCAUGUUGUGAAGAUCAUGAAUAUAUAUAUCUCAUUUUGCUGCUCUAUGCCUCAUUCUAAUUCUUCUCUGAUUCAUGUAACAUGAUGACAGUGGAAGCCAUCUUGUUGUUUUGUUUGUUCCCGGCCUUGACUAUGGUCGUCGAGCGAGUCCGACAUGUUGUUCAUCUAGUAGAGCUUGUUAGGAGUCUGAAUCUAAGAACUUGUAGAGCUUGUUAGUAUUACAAUUGUAGAGCUUGUUACACUUGUAGAGCUUGCAAAGCAGUAUGGUCUUCUGUUUUGGAAUGGAUAGAGCUUGUAUUAUGUGAUCUUGUUGCUCUUAUUUAUGUAUCAUGUGUGUUUUUGUC
This is a long non-coding RNA of Triticum dicoccoides, 2655 nucleotides long. RefSeq lists it as uncharacterized. NCBI's taxonomy places the organism in Eukaryota, Viridiplantae, Streptophyta, Magnoliopsida, Poales, Poaceae. The transcript has 2 exons. The record is from RefSeq and is a predicted model, not a curated record.